Molecule: long non-coding RNA, 448 nt
Organism: Drosophila miranda
Lineage: Eukaryota; Metazoa; Arthropoda; Insecta; Diptera; Drosophilidae
Exons: 3
Source: RefSeq, a predicted model, not a curated record
GGCAGCUUCUUGUUGGUCAGCUCUGUCUGGUGAUUGGCAGUGGCUGUCUCUGGAUCAACGAUUGGGCGCAUUAACAGGCGCCGCCCGAUCGCAUGCUUUCGCGUGCGCUGGCGAUUUGGGCCCUCCAUAUUUCGCCCAGGCCAUCCAGCACCUCAAAUGGAUCGUGAUUGGUCAAUUCGUCGUCGUCGCCAUCGUCUAAUUCAGUCGCGUCGCAGUCAAUGUCGGACUCUGAUUCCGAUAUGGCUGCUGCUGUAUUGGCGGCGACUGAUGGUAUUGGCAGAGGGGCAGGAACUGCUGCUGCUGUUGGUUGGAGUGGGGGCAUGGCUGUUCUGCCCUUGCCAUUUGCUGCAGCCAAUUUGAUUUUGAGCGCAGCUGCCAUCACACUGGACGUCUGGCUGCUGCUGCUGCUGGUGUUGUCGUGGCGUCGGAGCAUCAUUCGCGAUCGGCU